UUCAGGAGCUCAUGUUAGCAGCACCGAUUAUCUCACGCAGACUCACUGAAAAUGUAAGAAACUAUUCAGCCUUUUAUGUUCAAAACGGAUUCGGACAAUGAUGGAGAGACUCAAGAAGAAGUGACAACAUGUAGAAUGCAACAGGACGUUUCUGAAUGAAGCUGCAGAGCUGUUCACAGGGAUGCAAAAAUGAAAAGUUGUUUGUGUCAGGUGAUAAAUGUACAACUUGUAUCAGCUUGGUUGAAUAGGCUAUCCUGUCUUGGAGAAGAGGAAAGAAAGAACAGUAUCAAGCACUCAUACAUGCCCCACUUGAACUUUUGCUCUUCAUCACCACGCAAUCAGUAAGCACUUAAACCCAUGUAAAUAGCAAAAUUUGUUGGCUGUUAUUAAAUAAAUUGCUCACUGCAGUAUCCUAGAUAUCACAGCUCUAAUGCUGUCUGCAUGAAAGCACAACACAAGCCUUCUGUAGCAGGUACAACACAGUGCUACAGAUGCAAGAUGUGUGAAACAGGCCAAACUGGACACUACUGGUACAUAUAAAACCAGUGUUCAUCUCUGAGAUCACUAACAAUCCUAUUAUAACAUUUUGUUUAUCCAAAUACACUGUUCAACUAAGAGAUUCCCUGUAUGGAUCAGACUAAAUAAGCAAUCCUAUGUUUACAAGUCAUGAGCUUUAACAAAUAGUUAAAGUCCAAAUCUGUCUCUUUGAUCCCACCUCUAAACCUGCUGUAUGUAUUCAGUGAAGUGCAAUGCCAUCCUUUAAGCAGUACAUACACACUGUCUGUAUUUCUUACAGGAUGGCAGUUUGCCAGAUGCCUUUGUUUUGUAGAUUAGUAACCUGUGAAAUUCUAGACAGACCAGCAUACUUGAUGUCAUACAGAGAACACUGAGUGCUUUUGUUCAUUAUGAAUGCAGUGUUUUUAGGAAUUCAUGACUGCUGAAUUUUUCAAUAGUUCUCAACGGGUGGGUCGCAACCCAAAAAAUGGGACACAAGAAAAAAACACAAAUAUGCAAAUGCAAAUGAUAAUAUUCCAAUUAUUUCUAACCAAGGAAUCAUGCAUAGGAAGGCAAAAUAAAUAACGGAAAAAAAUAAGAUUCAAAUGAAAUAUGUGUAGUUAAAUAAAAUAUGUGUUUUGAGCAGUUCGUUUUUGGUAGCCAAGAGCAUGAAUCCAUCAAAACAAUUUAGAAAUGAAAGUUCGGCUUUUCAGUUAUGUCAUGUUAAUUGUUUGGUAUGUUGUAAGUUUUGGCUCCUUUGUUGAGCCACUUGAUGUUCAGUGUAAAACCUGUCUUGAAGCAAAAACAGUUGAGAAAUACUUAUCUAGAACACUGAACAGUCAGAAAUCUGCUAGCCAUAGACCAUCCAACUUCACUUACGCUUGAAAAAUACAUAUUUGAAUGAGUUAAACAUUUAUAUAGCAAAUUAAUGUUUGAAAUAGACACAAACAGCCUCCUCUGCCAUAUCUCAUACUUUAUUGAUAAUUCAUUAUUAAUGAUUAUCUCUGUAUUUCUAUCGCAUGAUCAAUUUUUAAUGGCUGUUUUGUCAGAUUAAUCCUUGAUGAAUCAUUCGUCAUUGUUAAAGCAUAUGUUUGCAUCAGUGUUUGAUGAAAGAUUAAUGCGCUUUUGUCCAUCAGUAACCACUGAAUAAAUAUUUUAGUGGUUGUAAGCUCAAAUCAAAAUUUUGGAUGAAUAAUAAUGAUUGAUGAUUGUCUGUUACACACUUUUUUCCUAUACAAAGACUUGUUUGGGAUUUAUUUUUUCAUAAAUAAACUAGCUUCUCUAUCAGAUGGGAUGUGUAAUAUCCACUAGGAAUGCAUAUAUAAAUAAUAUUUAAGUCUGA
Molecule: long non-coding RNA, 1837 nt
Organism: Megalobrama amblycephala (Wuchang bream)
Lineage: Eukaryota; Metazoa; Chordata; Actinopteri; Cypriniformes; Xenocyprididae
Exons: 3
Source: RefSeq, a predicted model, not a curated record